GCAAGUCGAGGGGUAUAGUUCUUCGGAGCUAGAGACCGGCGCACGGGUGCGUAACGCGUAUGCAAUCUACCUUUUACAGAGGGAUAGCCCAGAGAAAUUUGGAUUAAUACCUCAUAGCAUAGCAGUAUCGCAUGAUACCACUAUUAAAGUUCCAACGGUAAAAGAUGAGCAUGCGUCCCAUUAGCUAGAUGGUAAGGUAACGGCUUACCAUGGCUACGAUGGGUAGGGGUCCUGAGAGGGAGAUCCCCCACACUGGUACUGAGACACGGACCAGACUCCUACGGGAGGCAGCAGUGAGGAAUAUUGGUCAAUGGGCGCAAGCCUGAACCAGCCAUGCCGCGUGCAGGAAGACGGUCCUAUGGAUUGUAAACUGCUUUUGCACAGGAAGAAACACUCCCUCGUGAGGGAGCUUGACGGUACUGUGAGAAUAAGGAUCGGCUAACUCCGUGCCAGCAGCCGCGGUAAUACGGAGGAUCCAAGCGUUAUCCGGAAUCAUUGGGUUUAAAGGGUCCGUAGGCGGUUUAGUAAGUCAGUGGUGAAAGCCCAUCGCUCAACGGUGGAACGGCCAUUGAUACUGCUAGACUUGAAUUAUAAGGAAGUAACUAGAAUAUGUAGUGUAGCGGUGAAAUGCUUAGAGAUUACAUGGAAUACCAAUUGCGAAGGCAGGUUACUACUUAUGGAUUGACGCUGAUGGACGAAAGCGUGGGUAGCGAACAGGAUUAGAUACCCUGGUAGUCCACGCCGUAAACGAUGGAUACUAGCUGUUGGGGGCAACUUCAGUGGCUAAGCGAAAGUGAUAAGUAUCCCACCUGGGGAGUACGUUCGCAAGAAUGAAACUCAAAGGAAUUGACGGGGGCCCGCACAAGCGGUGGAGCAUGUGGUUUAAUUCGAUGAUACGCGAGGAACCUUACCAAGGCUUAAAUGUAGUUUGACCGAACUGGAAACAGUUUUUUCGCACGACAAAUU
RNAcentral lists this ribosomal RNA (966 nucleotides) under uncultured Flavobacteriaceae bacterium. RNAcentral describes it as "bacterial SSU rRNA". It matches the Rfam family "Bacterial small subunit ribosomal RNA", at positions 57 to 1032 of the family's 1533-position model. Lineage: Bacteria; Pseudomonadati; Bacteroidota; Flavobacteriia; Flavobacteriales; Flavobacteriaceae. The record is from RNAcentral.